Molecule: long non-coding RNA, 964 nt
Organism: Mytilus californianus (California mussel)
Lineage: Eukaryota; Metazoa; Mollusca; Bivalvia; Mytilida; Mytilidae
Exons: 3
Source: RefSeq, a predicted model, not a curated record
AAUUAAACCAAUUACUGCCAUCAUGUAAAUUGCUUUUGCAAAACACGUGCAUAACAUUUCAAAUUUGAAUACAAGCUCACACUUUUCUGAAAGUCUGAAUGUUAUUUCUUUGUAUCAAAAUAAUGUUUUGGUUAUUUAUUUUCUCUAUUUUGUCGCUACAAUGUAUCAGUUCAAGGACCCAUUUUAUACGAAACGAGUCUUUGGAUAGUUUUGAAAUCAUCAGACCAUUGGAUUACGCCGACGUCAGACUUCUCAAACUAACAAGGUCACAGGUUCCUGUCAAAUCUGUGUACACCCUACAUAUAAUGGCACCAUCUGACACCGACUUUAGGGCAUUAGAUGAUCGCACAGGUACAGUUUUACCUAUGGAAUUGUCAAACCCUACCAGCGAUGGAGAAUUUACGGUAAUUGUAGAGGUAAAAGAAGAUUCAACCCAACCAAGAAUAAAAGCUUGCUCAGCUUCAAUAGCUAUCAAUUUUACUGUUGAUAUCAAUCAUAGCUCUACUAAGAAAAUUCCAGAGAGUUUUGAUUUUAGUAGCUGUCGCUAUAGUGUUGCAAGGAAAUUGUCACCUGACAUCCACACAUACAGGGUUGAAAAUAUAGGAUGUGGAAGAGUUCAAUCUUCUACUUUCGAACAAAUGCAUAUGUAUAGGAGCAUUCCUGGAUAUCCAGAAACAACAUUAUUGUUUACUGUUGGAGGAACAAGGUAUCCAGAAUACUACAACUCAACCAUGGUAGGUGGUACUUCUGUCACUGAGGAAUAUGAUUACGUCUCUACAUGGAACAUUAAUCAAUCCGCUAUGAAUUCAGAUGGUAUUCAGGUUAAGGAGCUAGUACUCUCUAUAUGGUCGAUAACCCGCUGGACCAGUGAUCCUGUUACACACAUGGAAAUCACCCAACACAUAUCGUAACAUGAAAUACAACGUUACAAUUAUUUAUAAUUAAAUGAUUUUCAGAAUUGUAA